UCUAGUGACGAUGGCAAAGAGACCACGCUCGUCCCCAUCUUAAACACGGAAGUUAAGCUCUUUUGCGCCAAUGAUAGUUGGGGUCUCCCCCUGUGAGAGUAGGAUGUCGCUGGGU
Molecule: ribosomal RNA, 115 nt
Filed under: Planomicrobium sp. YIM 101495
Lineage: Bacteria; Bacillati; Bacillota; Bacilli; Caryophanales; Caryophanaceae
Source: RNAcentral